CCUACGGGAGGCAGCAGUGGGGAAUAUUGGGCAAUGGACGCAAGUCUGACCCAGCAACGCCGCGUGAAGGAAGAAGGCUUUCGGGUUGUAAACUUCUUUUAAGGGGGAAGAGCAGAAGACGGUACCCCUUGCAUCAGCCACGGCUAACUACGUGCCAGCAGCCGCGGUAAUACGUAGGUGGCAAGCGUUGUCCGGAUUUACUGGGUGUAAAGGGAGCGUAGGCCGGUCUUUAAGCGUGCCGUGAAAUUUUGUGGCUCAACCAUGAGAGUGCGGCGCGAACUGGAGACCUUGAGUGCGCGGAAGGCAGGCGGAAUUCGUGGUGUAGCGGUGAAAUGCUUAGAUAUCACGAAGAACCCCGAUUGCGAAGGCAGCCUGCCGCAGCGUGACUGACGCUGAAGCUCGAAAGCGCGGGUAUCGAACAGGAUUAGAUACCCCGGUAGUC
Molecule: ribosomal RNA, 442 nt
Filed under: uncultured bacterium
Lineage: Bacteria
Description: partial 16S ribosomal RNA
Rfam family: Bacterial small subunit ribosomal RNA
Source: RNAcentral